Molecule: ribosomal RNA, 301 nt
Filed under: uncultured bacterium
Lineage: Bacteria
Description: partial 16S ribosomal RNA
Rfam family: Bacterial small subunit ribosomal RNA
Source: RNAcentral
CAGUAGCCGCGGUAACACGAAGGGUGCAAGCGUUAAUCGGAAUUACUAGGCGUAAAGCGCACGUAGGCGGCUUGGUAAGUUAGAGGUGAAAGCCUGGAGCUCAACUCCAGAAUUGCCUUUAAGACUGCCGAGCUAGCAGGUGAGAGAGGUAAGUGGAAUUCCGAGUGUAGAGGUGAAAUUCGUAGAUAUUCGGAAGAACACCAGUGGCGAAGGCGGCUUACUGGCUCAUACUGGACGCUGAGGUGCGAAAGCGUGGGGAGCAAGCAGGAUUAGAUACCCCUGUAGUCCCUGUCUCUUAUAA